GACGAACGCUGGCGGCGUGCUUAACACAUGCAAGUCGAACGGAAAGGCCCUGCUUUUGUGGGGUGCUCGAGUGGCGAACGGGUGAGUAACCCGUGAGUAACCUGCCCUUGACUUUGGGAUAACUUCAAGAAACUGGGGCUACUGCCGGAUAGCAGCUCCUGAUGCAUGGGGGGGUUUGGAAAUUAUCGGCGGGUGUGGAUGGACUCGCGGCUUAUCAGCUUGUUGGUGGGGUAGUGGCUUACCAAGGCUUUGACGGGUAGCCGGCCUGAGAGGGUAACCGGCCACAUUGGGACUGAGAUACGGCCCAGACUCCUACGGGAGGCAGCAGUGGGGAAUAUUGCACAAUGGGCGGAAGCCUGAUGCAGCAACGCCGCGUGCGGGAUGACGGCCUUCUGGUUGUAAACCGCUUUCGCCUGUGACGAAGCGUGAGUGACGGUAAUGGGUAAAGAAGCACCGGCUAACUACGUG
This 468-nucleotide ribosomal RNA is filed under the name uncultured bacterium. RNAcentral describes it as "partial 16S ribosomal RNA". It matches the Rfam family "Bacterial small subunit ribosomal RNA", at positions 28 to 507 of the family's 1533-position model. The record is from RNAcentral.